CCUACGGGAGGCAGCAGUGGGGGAUAUUGCACAAUGGGGGAAACCCUGAUGCAGCGACGCCGCGUGUGGGAAGACGGUCCUCUGGAUUGUAAACCACUGUCCCCAGGGACGAAGAUGACGGUACCUGGGGAGGAAGCUCCGGCUAACUACGUGCCAGCAGCCGCGGUACUACGUAGGGAGCGAGCGUUGUCCAGAAUUACUGGGUGUAAAGGGAGCGUAGGCGGGACUGCAAGUUGGGUGUCAAAUCUACCGGCUCAACCGGUAGCCGCACUCAAAACUGCAGUUCUUGAGUGAAGUAGAGGCAGGCGGAAUGCCUAGUGUAGCGGUGAAAUGCGUAGAUAUUAGGAGGAACACCAGUGGCGAAGGCGGCCUGCUGGGCUUUUACUGACGCUGAGGCUCGAAAGUGUGGGGAGCAAACAGGAUUAGAUACCCCUGUAGUC
RNAcentral lists this ribosomal RNA (440 nucleotides) under uncultured bacterium. Its description in RNAcentral is "partial 16S ribosomal RNA". It matches the Rfam family "Bacterial small subunit ribosomal RNA", at positions 338 to 795 of the family's 1533-position model. The record is from RNAcentral.